RNAcentral lists this microRNA (22 nucleotides) under Electrophorus electricus (electric eel). RNAcentral describes it as "eel-miR-11062-3p". The record is from miRBase by way of RNAcentral. Lineage: Eukaryota; Metazoa; Chordata; Actinopteri; Gymnotiformes; Gymnotidae.
UAUAAUGUCAGCAUAGUCCGAC